RNAcentral lists this ribosomal RNA (497 nucleotides) under uncultured bacterium. Its description in RNAcentral is "partial 16S ribosomal RNA". It matches the Rfam family "Bacterial small subunit ribosomal RNA", at positions 28 to 507 of the family's 1533-position model. The record is from RNAcentral.
GAUGAACGCUGGCGGCGUGCCUAAUACAUGCAAGUCGAGCGAACAGACGAGAUGGUUGUUUCUUUGACGCUAGCGGCGGACGGGUGAGUAACACGUGGGCAACCUACCUAUUAGACUGGGACAACUUCUGGAAACCCCGACUAAUACCCGAUAAGAUUUUGUGCCGCAUGGUUCGAUAUUGAAAGAUACGUCUGCGAUCGCUUAUAUAUCGACCUGCGCGCUGUUAGUUAGGUGGUAAGCGAACGGCCUACCAAAGCAACGAUAGUUAUGCGACCUGAGAGGGUGAAAGGCCCCCCUGGAAGGGAGAGACAGUCCAGCCUCAUACGGGAGGCAGCAGUCGGGAAGCAAUAGUAAUGGGCGAACGCAUGCCGGAGCAACGCAGCCUGAGUGCUGAAAGUAUUCGGAACGUAAAACUAUGUUAUUAGGGAAGAACACAAGAAGAAGUACCCGUGCACGUCUUGACGGUACCUAAUCAGAAAGCAACGGCUAACUACGUG